This 349-nucleotide ribosomal RNA is filed under the name uncultured bacterium. RNAcentral's name for it is "bacterial SSU rRNA". It matches the Rfam family "Bacterial small subunit ribosomal RNA", at positions 28 to 372 of the family's 1533-position model. The record is from RNAcentral.
GAUGAACGCUAGCGGCAGGCUUAAUACAUGCAAGUCGUGGGGCAGCAUGAGUAGCAAUACUUGAUGGCGACCGGCAAACGGGUGAGGAACACGUACACAACCCUCCUUCAAGCGGGGAAUAGCCCAGAGAAAUUUGGAUUAAUACCCCAUAAUAUAUUUGAUAAAGGCAUCUUAUUAAAUAUUAAAGCUUCGGCACUUGAUGAUGGGUGUGCGGCUGAUUAGAUAGUUGGCGGGGUAACGGCCCACCAAGUCUACGAUCAGUAGCUGAUGUGAGAGCAUGAUCAGCCACACGGGCACUGAGACACGGGCCCGAUCCUACGGGAGGCAGCAGUAAGGAAUAUUGGACAAU